ACAGGUUUGCUGUUUAAAGAUUUCCUUUGGCUCUCAGCAGAUAAGAGGCCAAUAUACUCAAACUCUUAUCUACUGCAGUGAAUACAUUAAGUGGCAUUGAUAAGGUUGGAAAUGUGGCAUAGGCAUAUUGAGUCUAAUGGCUUGUUAAGUGCAUGUGUCAGCUUCUUCUUUCUGAAAACUUCAGGAAGAACUGCAUGCUCCUGAUAAAUUUAUUUAAAUUGCCACCCUUGACACACAAACAGAAUAGAAUACCUUAAUUAGAGUAAGAAAGUUGUUCACUUUCCUGCGUCACUAAUGGAGAUUGACAGAGGACUUACUUAGAGAGUUAUAAAUAGAAUUUAGGCUGCUGUGAGGAAAAGAGAAACCAAAAUGAUACCAGCUGUACCAGGAGAAGAACUGAAGAGGCAUCCAAGGAUGUUUUCCUAGUCAUCAAUUCCCAGGUCUUCACUAUUUUUAGGGGCUGACAGUUUUAUAAAUAAGUCAGCAAGGGCUUUUCCACCUUACCUUAAUCUGCUAUGAGUUGCUGGUUUGAGCUCAAGUGGUGACAAUUCAAAGAAGAACAUUCAUGGGGCUAUGUUUUCAACAGAACUGGUGAAACCAUAUCCACACAGGCUAUGGAAGCAGACUCAGCAGACUUGCUGUUCAAAAGACCAUUCCUAAGGAUUUUUAAGAAUUUUUUUUCUGUUGAAAAAAAAAAAACCUGUAUUUCCAAUCUCAUCUGCAUGUACUGCCACAACAUACUGGAUGUAAAUAAAUUUAAAGAGAUUGUGGACGGUAAGGUCUUGUGGAAGGAUCUACUUCAUGUGAUUCAGUAAAGAGAGGACAUGAAGCUGCAGCUUCCCUACCCUAAAUGAAGCUGCAGCCUAAAUGAAGCCACAGCGACCAUCUUUGCAAAGGGCACACAGUGUCCAUUACUGCAGGCCAUGGCUGUGGAGGCCACCACAGCAGGCGGCAAUGGAUGAUGGCAGCACCAGAUAGUGGCAGAGGCUAAGGUAGGGAGAGGAAGGAGGCAGGGGAUAGGCUGUGGGCAUGGGUGGCUGUGGGCGUGGGUGGCUGCCUAUUGGCCUGUUGAUUGGCAGGCCCAUAGGCAGAAUGGGAAAGCCAUAGGAAGAGAGGGAAGGCUGGCCUUCCAGAAGACCCAGCCAACAUACCAAUGAGUGGGAAUUCUGAGAGUUGCAAUCCAGAAUCAUCUGGGGAAUCAUACAUGGGAAACACAAUCUUGAAGGAUGACGUUUUACAGCUGGGAAUGCUCAUAAGCGGAGACAUACAAGUCUUCUGUGGCACACAGCAUUCGGGAGUUCUUAAGUUUACCUUAAA
Molecule: long non-coding RNA, 1317 nt
Filed under: Pogona vitticeps (central bearded dragon)
Lineage: Eukaryota; Metazoa; Chordata; Lepidosauria; Squamata; Agamidae
Description: lncRNA (ENSPVIG00000019380.1)
Source: RNAcentral